This 253-nucleotide ribosomal RNA is filed under the name uncultured bacterium. RNAcentral describes it as "partial 16S ribosomal RNA". It matches the Rfam family "Bacterial small subunit ribosomal RNA", at positions 524 to 776 of the family's 1533-position model. The record is from RNAcentral.
UACGGAGGGGGCUAGCGUUGUUCGGAAUUACUGGGCGUAAAGCGCACGUAGGCGGCUUUGUAAGUUAGAGGUGAAAGCCCGGGGCUCAACUCCGGAAUUGCCUUUAAGACUGCAUCGCUAGAAUUGUGGAGAGGUAAGUGGAAUUCCGAGUGUAGAGGUGAAAUGCGUAGAGAUGCGGAGGAACACCGAUGGCGAAGGCAGCCCCCUGGGCUAACACUGACGCUCAGGCACGAAAGCGUGUGGAGCAAACAGG